Molecule: ribosomal RNA, 634 nt
Filed under: uncultured Cortinarius
Lineage: Eukaryota; Fungi; Basidiomycota; Agaricomycetes; Agaricales; Cortinariaceae
Description: eukaryotic LSU rRNA
Rfam family: 5.8S ribosomal RNA (bases 224-377)
Source: RNAcentral
GAUUGGAAGUAAAAGUCGUAACAAGGUUUCCGUAAGAAGAACCUGCGGAAGGAUCAUUAUUGAAAUAAACCUGAUGGGCUGUUGCUGGUUCUCUAGGGAGCAUGUGCACGCCUUGUCAUCUUUAUAUCUCCACCUGUGCACCUUUUGUAGAUCUUUCAGGUCUAUGUUGCUUCAUUUUACCACAAUGUAUGUUAAUAGAAUGUUGUGCCUAUAUAAUGUAUACAACUUUCAGCAACGGAUCUCUUGGCUCUCGCAUCGAUGAAGAACGCAGCGAAAUGCGAUAAGUAAUGUGAAUUGCAGAAUUCAGUGAAUCAUCGAAUCUUUGAACGCACCUUGCGCUCCUUGGUAUUCCGAGGAGCAUGCCUGUUUGAGUGUCAUUAAUAUAUAUAUCAGCCCUCUUUUGUUGAGUGGGUUGGAUGUGGGGGUUUGCUGGCCUUUUUAAAAAGGGGUUCGGCUCUCCUGAAAUGCAUUAGCAGAACAACCUGUUCAUUGGUGUGAUAACUAUCUACGCUAUUGAAUGUAAAGGGAAGUUCAGCUUUCUAAUGGUCCUUUGGACAAUUUACAUCAUUAAUGUGACCUCAAAUCAGUAGGACUACCCCGCUGAACUUAAGCAUAUCAAUAAGCGGAGGAUAUC